RNAcentral lists this ribosomal RNA (504 nucleotides) under uncultured bacterium. RNAcentral describes it as "partial 16S ribosomal RNA". It matches the Rfam family "Bacterial small subunit ribosomal RNA", at positions 30 to 523 of the family's 1533-position model. The record is from RNAcentral.
AUUGAACGCUGGCGGCAGGCCUAACACAUGCAAGUCGAACGGUAGCACAGAGAGCUUGCUCUCGGGUGACGAGUGGCGGACGGGUGAGUAAUGUCUGGGAAACUGCCUGAUGGAGGGGGAUAACUACUGGAAACGGUAGCUAAUACCGCAUAAUGUCGCAAGACCAAAGAGGGGGACCUUCGGGCCUCUUGCCAUCGGAUGUGCCCAGAUGGGAUUAGCUUGUUGGUGAGGUAAAAGCUCACCAAGGCGACGAUCCCUAGCUGGUCUGAGAGGAUGACCAGCCACACUGGAACUGAGACACGGUCCAGACUCCUACGGGAGGCGGCAGUGGGGAAUAUUGCACAAUGGGCGCAAGCCUGAUGCAGCCAUGCCGCGUGUGUGAAGAAGGCCUUCGGGUUGUAAAGCACUUUCAGCGGGGAGGAAGGCGGUGAGUUUAAUAAGCUCACCGAUUGACGUUACCCGCAGAAGAAGCACCGGCUAACUCCGUGCCAGCAGCCGCAGUAA